This 43-nucleotide non-coding RNA is filed under the name Schistosoma mansoni. Lineage: Eukaryota; Metazoa; Platyhelminthes; Trematoda; Strigeidida; Schistosomatidae. The record is from RNAcentral.
AUCCAGUUGAUGAGUCCCAAACAGGACGAAACGCAUCCUGAAU